GCAGUGAUGUGGAGCGAAACUCAAAAAAAUAAGUCUCAGUUCGGAUUGAAGGCUGAAAUUCGCCUUCAUGAAGCCGGAAUUGCUAGUAAUGGCAGGUCAGCAUACUGCCGUGAAUACGUUCCCGGGCCUUGUACACACCGCCCGUCACACCAUGAGAGUUGGGAAUACCCGAAGCCUGUGAGCUAACAUUUAUGAGGCAGCAGUCGAAGGUAGAAUCAAUGAUUGGGGUGAAGUCGUAACAAGGUACC
RNAcentral lists this ribosomal RNA (248 nucleotides) under uncultured bacterium. Its description in RNAcentral is "partial 16S ribosomal RNA". It matches the Rfam family "Bacterial small subunit ribosomal RNA", at positions 1254 to 1500 of the family's 1533-position model. The record is from RNAcentral.